UACGGAGGAUGCAAGCGUUAUCCGGAAUGAUUGGGCGUAAAGCGUCCGCAGGUGGCACUUCAAGUCUGCUGUUAAAUACUAGGGCUCAACCCUGGAGUGGCGGUGGAAACUGAGGAGCUAGAGUGCGGUAGGGGUAGAGGGAAUUCCCAGUGUAGCGGUGAAAUGCGUAGAGAUUGGGAAGAACACCGGUGGCGAAAGCGCUCUGCUAGGCCGCAACUGACACUAAUGGACGAAAGCUAGGGGAGCGAAUGGG
Molecule: ribosomal RNA, 253 nt
Filed under: uncultured bacterium
Lineage: Bacteria
Description: partial 16S ribosomal RNA
Rfam family: Bacterial small subunit ribosomal RNA
Source: RNAcentral